This 23-nucleotide non-coding RNA is filed under the name Mus musculus (house mouse). Lineage: Eukaryota; Metazoa; Chordata; Mammalia; Rodentia; Muridae. The record is from RNAcentral.
UGGAAACUGACAGCCACUCUUCC